RNAcentral lists this transfer RNA (46 nucleotides) under Cnemaspis shahruli. Its description in RNAcentral is "partial tRNA-Cys". The record is from RNAcentral. Lineage: Eukaryota; Metazoa; Chordata; Lepidosauria; Squamata; Gekkonidae.
UAGGUGCCGGGGCUUCUCCCGUUUUUUACCCCACAACGGGAGAAGC